AUCUAGGGGACUUAGAAAGUUUUCGAAGGUUCAGGCAGGGGGUCAUCUAGGGGACUUAGAAAGUUUUCGAAGGUUCAGGCAAGGGGUCAUCCAGGGGACUUAGAAAGUUUUCGAAGGUUCAGGCAGGGGGUCAUCUAGGGGACUUAGAAAUUUUUCGAAGGUUCAGGCAAGGGGUCAUCCAGGGGACUUAGAAAGUUUUCGAAGGUUCAGGCAGGGGGUCAUCUAGGGGACUUAGAAAUUUUUCGAAGGUUCAGGCAAGGGGUCAUCCAGGGGACUUAGAAAUAUUUGAGAGGUUCAGGCAAGGGGUCAUCCAGGGGACUUAGAAAGUUUUCGAAGGUUCAGGCAGGGGG
Molecule: long non-coding RNA, 350 nt
Organism: Polypterus senegalus (gray bichir)
Lineage: Eukaryota; Metazoa; Chordata; Cladistia; Polypteriformes; Polypteridae
Exons: 3
Source: RefSeq, a predicted model, not a curated record